GGGGGCGCGCGGACACCACCCACCCCGCCGGGCAAGGCCACCGUCCCAGACGCCUGGCGGCCGGAAGAACCGCACGAACGCCUUCCGCAGAGCUGGUCCUCGGGAGCCCUCCAGCCCACCCAGGGCUUUCCUAGCCCCAAAUCCUUCCCAGGGACGUCCUCGGGACAGGCAAACCUGCUGUAACAUUCAGCUGAUAUAGGAGGUGGAACCCUCCUACAGUCACAGAGACAGAAAGUGCCCCGAGGGCGUCGCCCUGGUCCUGGCGGAGAUGGUCUCUGAUGGUCUGCCUUGAUGACUUAUGGGGACACCUGUCGGGGGUUCUGCUAGACAGAAAGAUGCAGGGCGCCCCUCACGCACGCAAACUCUAGCUCUCACACCCAGACGUGCUCCAAACAUUCCAAAGGAGCCAAAAACGACGUCUGGCUUUUCCGCGGCGCCUCCUGGCCCUGGCGGUGACUCCGAGGUGGCGCUUUCAGGGUGGGCGCGAGGGAGAGGAAAGCCCCUGGCAUCCUCACCCCCAGGGCCAGAGGGACAGCGGGUGCCCUCCGCCCCGAGUCACCUGCGUCUUGAAUUCUGGCCCUCCAAGGAGAGGGCAAUGCCUGAGCCCACGGAAGUUGGGUCAGGGGCAGCAUUGGAAGUCAGAGCCUGCAAUGCUCACGUAAAUGCAAAAGAUGGUUCCUUCAGUGCCAGUAAGAAGGGUGUCUUGAACAUGAGGAAUACAGCAGCAAGCAAGACAGAGAGGUGCCUGCUUUCUGGGGAGACAACAAACAGAUAAAUAAGCACGACACUGUCCUGCCAAGCUAAGUGACAUCAAUGAAACAAGGCAAGGUAAUAAGAAGACGCUGGGAAAAGGCUUAGCUGUGAUUUUGCUUUCUGCAGUUUGAGUUGCCUAUGUUCAACCGAGGUUCAAAAAUAUUAAAUGGAACAUUUCAGAAAUGAACAAUCCUAAGUUUAAAUUGCAUGCCAUUCUGAGCAGCGUGAUGAUAUCUUGCGCCAUCUCUCCCAGUCCUGCCCCGGGGAUGAAUCAUCCCUUUGUCCAGCCUGUCCACACUGUACAUGCUCCAGGCCCGUUAGUUACUUAGUAGCCAUCUCAGUUUUUCGGAUGACGUCGAGGCAUGGCAGGGUUUGUGUUCAAAGUCACCCUUAUUUUACUUAACAAUAGCUUCAAAUCACAAGCAUAGUGAUGCUGGCAAUUUGGAUAUGCCAAAGAGAAGCUACAAGGUGCUUUAAGGGGAAAAGUGAAAGUUGUGGACUUAAUUAGCAACCUUAGCUGAGGUUGCUAAGAUCUGUGAUAACAAGGAAGCUUUGAUUCAUGAAAUUGUGAAGAUGGAAAAAAGAAAUAUAUGCUAGUUUUGCUGUCACACCUCGGACUGCAAAGUAAUGGCCAUGGUGCGUGAUAAGAGCUUAGUUAAGAUGGAAAAGGCAUUAAUUCUGUGGAUAAAAACAUGAAGAGAAAUGUGUUCUGAUUGAUGGCAAUAAGGAUCAGUAUUAUCCGUGGUCCCAGGCAUGCAUUGGAGGUGUUGGAAUGUAUCCCCCAUGGAUAAGGAGAGACUAUUGUAUCCUUGAUUGGGGCAUUGCUACAUGGAUGUAUACAUUUGGCCCAACUCUCCAAACUGAACACUUAAGAUAGGUGUGUUUCAUUGUACGCACAUUUUUCAACAAAAAUCUUUUCUAUAUAAGAAGAAUAGCUGGGAAAGGAAGACAUUAACUAGGGUGAUCAGGAUGGUCUCUUUGCAAAGGGGACAUUUGAGCUGAGACCUGAAAAGUGAGAAUGAACUAGAAGGAGUUAGCCAUGCCAGGAUCUUGUCUCUUCCUACCAAGAUGCUGCAGGCAGAGGAAACGCUGCAUUGGAAGGGCCCCCGGUACCUUGGAGUUGACAGCCAUGUGCUCAGAGGAGAAUGAAGCAAACCAAGCAAAAGCCAACCCCAAACACCCAAUGGCCUGAGCUCCUCAGAGCAAGAAAAGUCAAGUUGAAUAUCUCAGAUGGGGCCGUCAGAGAAUGGAGAUGACCUCAUCCACAGUGGGACAAGUUGGAGCAAAUCACUUGGGUGGAAAGCAAGGAAAUAGAGGGGCAAUUUCAGCAUGUCCCUCAGGCUUCCACAGAGGAAGGUUUGGCCUUCCAAAUUCCCAAAGGGCUCCUCUCCUGGGAUGCACUGUCUCUGCAGAGGUGAAAACACUCUUUCUUGUUUCUCUCUGCCUGGGAUCUUAAUUGUUUCCAGUGUCAAAUGAAGGACUGAGGAAAGAACCAAAGCUUCCCCAGUUCACUAACUGCUCUGGGAUUUACCCAGAAUUUUGAUAGCAUUGAGAUUUGGAGUUGGCUUAGAAGAAGAGAAGAAGGGAAGUGGAGGUGCUGAGAGCUGGUCUGGAGUUAGCCCUGCUUCAGCCACAUUCACUUCCCUUUGUCUCUCAUGACCGGGCAAUGCAGUAGACUUCCCAUGUUGUGUAUCUUCUUGUCUAUUAAACAGGGUUAUCCAACUGAUUGAGGGCAUUUCUUUUUUUUUUUUUUUUCCAACCUCACUUUUUCCAAACUAGUUUAGAUCUUCCAGAGUGUGGUAGGCUGAAAAAUGUCCCCCAAAAAUAUCAGGUCCUAAUCCCUGAAACCUAUGAAUAUUGUCUUAUAUGGGAAAAGGGUCUUUGCAAAUUGGGUUAAGUCAAAGAUCUUGAGAGAGGGAGGUUAUUUUGGAUUAUUAAUAUUUAGGUGGACCUUAAAUAAAUUCCAAGAAUGUCAUCUGGAGUGGAGGAAAAAGGUAUUUCUUUUUAGGAUGUCCAGGAAAUUAAAAGAUGAUGAAAUGCCAAAACAAGUUCACAAAAGAGUAGAAUAGUUUAAAUAUUGACGUCUAAUAUCCACUCACCAUGUCUGUGCACAUAUGCCUCUAAUGACCAUCAACCGUGUCCCUUGGCCUUCAGGCUUUUUUGGACACCAGAGCCUGCUCUGCUUGUGUACACUGCAGAUGUCUCAGGGAAUUAAUGCCUCUCUGGCCCCCAAGAGCAGACUUCAACCAAUGCCUAAUGGAAGUUGGUAUAUAAAUACCCCAGCUCCCUCACCCCUAGGUGGAGAAACUCUGGGGUACCUUCUACACUGGCUCCUAGAGGUCUCCACUGGGACUGAACUCCAGUUGCCCACCAUCAGAACUUAUUUAAUGACACACCCAAAUAAGAUUCCUUCCCCUCCUAUUGGACUUCCCCACUCCACUUCCAUUGUUUUCUAGAAUCAAGUCCCAAAUAAACUACUAGCCUUCAAAUCCUA
This is a long non-coding RNA of Pan troglodytes (chimpanzee), 3247 nucleotides long. RefSeq lists it as uncharacterized. The transcript has 2 exons. The record is from RefSeq and is a predicted model, not a curated record. NCBI's taxonomy places the organism in Eukaryota, Metazoa, Chordata, Mammalia, Primates, Hominidae.